CUACGGGUUGCACCAGUGAGGAAUAUUGCACAAUGGGGGGAACCCUGAUGCAGCAACGCCGCGUGGAGGAUGACGCAUUUCGGUGUGUAAACUCCUUUUAUAUGUCAAGAAAAUGACGGUAGCAUAUGAAUAAGCACCGGCUAACUCCGUGCCAGCAGCCGCGGUAAUACGGAGGGUGCAAGCGUUACUCGGAAUCACUGGGCGUAAAGGACGCGUAGGCGGGCUUGUAAGUCAGGUGUGAAAUCCUACAGCUUAACUGUAGAACUGCACUUGAAACUACGAGCCUAGAGUAUGGGAGGGGCAGAUGGAAUUAGUGGUGUAGGGGUAAAAUCCGUAGAUAUCACUAGGAAUACCGAAAGCGAAGGCGAUCUGCUGGAACAUUACUGACGCUAAGGCGUGAAAGCGUGGGGAGCAAACGGGAUUAGAUACCCCAGUAGUC
This 439-nucleotide ribosomal RNA is filed under the name uncultured bacterium. RNAcentral describes it as "partial 16S ribosomal RNA". It matches the Rfam family "Bacterial small subunit ribosomal RNA", at positions 339 to 795 of the family's 1533-position model. The record is from RNAcentral.